RNAcentral lists this ribosomal RNA (497 nucleotides) under uncultured bacterium. Its description in RNAcentral is "partial 16S ribosomal RNA". It matches the Rfam family "Bacterial small subunit ribosomal RNA", at positions 28 to 507 of the family's 1533-position model. The record is from RNAcentral.
GAUGAACGCUGGCGGCGUGCCUAAUACAUGCAAGUCGAGCGAACGGACGAGAAGCUUGCUUUUCUGAUGUUAGCGGCGGACGGGUGAGUAACACGUGGAUAACCUACCUAUAAGACUGGGAUAACUUCGGGAAACCGGAGCUAAUACCGGAUAAUAUUUUGAACCGCAUGGUUCAAAAGUGAAAGACGGUCUUGCUGUCACUUAUAGAUGGAUCCGCGCUGCAUUAGCUAGUUGGUAAGGUAACGGCUUACCAAGGCAACGAUGCAUAGCCGACCUGAGAGGGUGAUCGGCCACACUGGAACUGAGACACGGUCCAGACUCCUACGGGAGGCAGCAGUAGGGAAUCUUCCGCAAUGGGCGAAAGCCUGACGGAGCAACGCCGCGUGAGUGAUGAAGGUCUUCGGAUCGUAAAACUCUGUUAUUAGGGAAGAACAUAUGUGUAAGUAACUGAGCACAUCUUGACGGUACCUAAUCAGAAAGCCACGGCUAACUACGUG